GAUGAAGAACGUAGCGAAAUGCGAUACGUAAUGUGAAUUGCAGAAUUCAGUGAAUCAUCGAGUCUUUGAACGCACAUUGCGCCGCCUGGUAGUCCGGGGGGCAUGCCUGUCCGAGCGUCAUUGCUGCCCUCAAGCACGGCUUGUGUGUUGGGCCUCCGUCCUCCUCCCGGGGGACGGGCCCGAAAGGCAGCGGCGGCACCGCGUCCGGUCCUCGAGCGUAUGGGGCUUCGUCACCCGCUCUUGUAGGCCCGGCCGGCGCUUGCCGACACAUCAAUCUUUUUUCCAGGUUGACCUCGGAUCAGGUAGGGAUACCCGCUGAACUUAAGCAUAUCAAUAAGCGGAGGA
Molecule: unclassified non-coding RNA, 345 nt
Filed under: soil metagenome
Description: partial contains 5.8S ribosomal RNA, internal transcribed spacer 2, and large subunit ribosomal RNA
Rfam family: 5.8S ribosomal RNA (bases 1-120)
Source: RNAcentral